AACGUAGGAGACAAACGUUAUCCGGAGUUACUGGGCGUAAAGGGCGUGUAGGUGGUUUCGUAAGUCUGGCGUGAAAUUUUUCGGCUUAACCGGGAAAGGUCGUCGGAUACUGCGGGACUAGAGGACGGUAGAGGCGUGUGGAAUUCCGGGUGUAGUGGUGAAAUGCGUAGAGAUCCGGAGGAACACCAGUGGCGAAGGCGACACGCUGGGCCGACCUGACACUGAUGCGCGACAGCAGUGGGGAGCAAACGAG
This 253-nucleotide ribosomal RNA is filed under the name uncultured bacterium. Its description in RNAcentral is "partial 16S ribosomal RNA". It matches the Rfam family "Bacterial small subunit ribosomal RNA", at positions 524 to 776 of the family's 1533-position model. The record is from RNAcentral.